CUUCAACAGAAGGAGCAACGGUCUUCGACGGUGUAACGGAAUCAACCCCGUACUCUGAACCGGAACUGUAGAGAAAAUGACGUCUCAGCCUCGAGGAAGAGUCC
Bufo bufo (common toad) is the source of this 104-nucleotide long non-coding RNA. RefSeq lists it as uncharacterized. The record is from RefSeq and is a predicted model, not a curated record. NCBI's taxonomy places the organism in Eukaryota, Metazoa, Chordata, Amphibia, Anura, Bufonidae. The transcript has 3 exons.